AGCAGAGGUGCAGAGGCAUGAGCCAGCAUGCUAUUUUGAGAAAGUCCUAGCAGUUUAUUGGCCCUGGAUGAAAAAAGAGAGCAGUGGAGAGGAAAGCAAGGUCAAUGGUGUGGUGUCAGGUGGGUCUGGGCUGAUAGAGAGAACUUGGGUUCCACCACAAAGAAGCUAAAAAGCAAAAAGAGGGUGUGUGAUGGGGAAGCAGCCGGCCACAGCGUCCAGGAUCAUGGCUCAAUCCGGAAGACAAUCUUACUUGUUAAUUUGUGUUUUGCUGCCCUGAUAAACAAUCAGGGCUAUAUCUCACCAGAAGAUAAGAGAUCUAUCUGAUGUGGCAGGUGGUAAAAUAGCAUGGCCAAAGGAACAGUAAGACUGUCAAAUUCGGAUUUGAAAGGUGAGUUGUUAUUUAGAGAUUGUAUAAGCAGUUCACUGAAAGAAUGUGCCGCUUCACUGCAAGGUUUUGCCUUUCAUCGUGUGUGUGUGUGUGUGUGUGUGUGUGAGAGAGAGAGUGUGUGUGUGUGUGUGUGUGUAUUUAAACUUGCUACCAGGUUUGUACAGUUUUCUAUUUUGUUCAUUUGCCAUAUCAUUAUAAACAGAACAGCUACUUCAGAUUGUGGGAGGAAGAUUACUAGACUAAUG
This 633-nucleotide long non-coding RNA is filed under the name Homo sapiens (human). RNAcentral describes it as "HSALNT0305645". The record is from RNAcentral. Lineage: Eukaryota; Metazoa; Chordata; Mammalia; Primates; Hominidae.